UACAGAGGGUGCAAACGUUGCUCGGAAUUACUGGGCGUAAAGCGCGUGUAGGUGGUUUUGUAAGUCGGGUGUGAAAGCCCAGGGCUCAACCCUGGAAGUGCACACGAUACUGCGAAGCUUGAGUACUGAAGAGGAGAGCGGAAUUCCCGGUGUAGAGGUGAAAUUCGUAGAUAUCGGGAGGAACACCAGUGGCGAAGGCGGCUCUCUGGGCAGAUACUGACACUGAGACGCGAAAGCGUGGGUAGCAAACAGG
This 253-nucleotide ribosomal RNA is filed under the name uncultured bacterium. RNAcentral describes it as "partial 16S ribosomal RNA". It matches the Rfam family "Bacterial small subunit ribosomal RNA", at positions 524 to 776 of the family's 1533-position model. The record is from RNAcentral.